GUGGUGGCUCAGUGGUAGAGCACUUGCCUAGCAUGUGUGAGGCACUGGGUUCAAUUCUCAGCACCACA
This 68-nucleotide transfer RNA is filed under the name Marmota marmota marmota (Alpine marmot). It matches the Rfam family "tRNA". From Rfam's summary of the family: Transfer RNA (tRNA) molecules are approximately 80 nucleotides in length. Lineage: Eukaryota; Metazoa; Chordata; Mammalia; Rodentia; Sciuridae. The record is from Rfam by way of RNAcentral. RNAcentral also lists the same sequence under 4 other names.